This 424-nucleotide ribosomal RNA is filed under the name uncultured bacterium. RNAcentral's name for it is "bacterial SSU rRNA". It matches the Rfam family "Bacterial small subunit ribosomal RNA", at positions 917 to 1341 of the family's 1533-position model. The record is from RNAcentral.
GGGCCCGCACAAGCGGUGGAGCAUGUGGUUUAAUUCGAUGCAACGCGAAGAACCUUACCAGCCCUUGACAUCCUCGGAACUUGGUAGAGAUACCUUGGUGCCUUCGGGAAUCGAGUGACAGGUGCUGCAUGGCUGUCGUCAGCUCGUGUCGUGAGAUGUUGGGUUAAGUCCCGCAACGAGCGCAACCCUUGUCCCUAGUUGCCAGCACUUCGGGUGGGAACUCUAGGGAGACUGCCGGUGACAAACCGGAGGAAGGUGGGGAUGACGUCAGGUCAUCAUGGCCCUUACGGCCAGGGCUACACACGUGCUACAAUGGCGCGCACAGAGGGCUGCAAACCCGCGAGGGGGAGCCAAUCUCACAAAACGCGUCGUAGUCCGGAUCGCAGUCUGCAACUCGACUGCGUGAAGUCGGAAUCGCUAGUAA